GGGUUCGUAGCCCAACCGGUAGAGCGCUUGCCGUGUUUAGGCAUGCUGUGUCAGUCGCUUGUUCGAAUCCAGCCGAAUCCU
RNAcentral lists this transfer RNA (81 nucleotides) under Paragonimus westermani. RNAcentral's name for it is "tRNA-Asn". It matches the Rfam family "tRNA". Rfam says of the family: Transfer RNA (tRNA) molecules are approximately 80 nucleotides in length. Their secondary structure includes four short double-helical elements and three loops (D, anti-codon, and T loops). Lineage: Eukaryota; Metazoa; Platyhelminthes; Trematoda; Plagiorchiida; Troglotrematidae. The record is from RNAcentral.